UGCCAGCAGCCGCGGUAAUACGGAGGGGGCUAGCGUUAUUCGGAAUUACUGGGCGUAAAGCGCACGUAGGCGGCGUAUCAAGUUAGAGGUGAAAGGCCUGGGCUCAACCCGGGAAUUGCCUUUAAGACUGAUAUGCUUGAGUUCGGAAGAGGGUAGUGGAAUUCCAAGUGUAGAGGUGAAAUUCGUAGAUAUUUGGAAGAACACCAGUGGCGAAGGCGGCUACCUGGUCCGAUACUGACGCUGAGGUGCGAAAGCGUGGGGAGCAAACAGGAUUAGAUA
This 279-nucleotide ribosomal RNA is filed under the name uncultured bacterium. Its description in RNAcentral is "partial 16S ribosomal RNA". It matches the Rfam family "Bacterial small subunit ribosomal RNA", at positions 506 to 784 of the family's 1533-position model. The record is from RNAcentral.